Molecule: long non-coding RNA, 2349 nt
Organism: Hemibagrus wyckioides
Lineage: Eukaryota; Metazoa; Chordata; Actinopteri; Siluriformes; Bagridae
Exons: 4
Source: RefSeq, a predicted model, not a curated record
CUGUUUCUUUUUCCUCUCUCUCACUGUCUCUCUCUCCCUCUCUCAUUUUCCUCUCUCUCUCUCCCUCUCUCUUUUUCCUCUCUCUGUCUCCCUCUCUCUUUUUCCUCUCUCUCUCCAUCAUCUCCUUAUUUUCUUCAUUUUCUGAGAUUUCUCUCUCUCUCUCUCUCUCUCUCUGUGUCUGUCUCUCUCUCUUUCUCCCUCCCCCUCUCUCUCCAUCAUCUCUUUAUUUUCUUCAUUUUCUGAGAUUAUCUCUCUCUCUCUCUCUCUCUCUCUCUCGCUCUUUCUGGAAGAAAGAACAAAAGCAUUCAGACGUGAGAUGCUCGAGCGGACUGCACGCGCGCGCCCACCAUAAACAUGGACCCUGGGAACAACAACACAGCACGGGGAAAACACGCUGCCAUGGCAACUGCCAGACCGUGCGUUCGUUUUAACCCAAACACACAUAAACCAUGUAAAAAAUGAAAAAAAGGAUGGAAGAAAGAAAGAAACGAUCAAACUCUACCUGUCUGUAUCCGGCGUCUGGAUCCGUUAGCAUGCGCGUGCGCGUGUUGUGUUGUCUUGCUCCGCGAUGCGCUCGCGACCGAGAUGCGCUCCGCUUUGUGGUCUUAAAGGGGCAACAGCAGGCUGAGGCUGAGGCUGGGGCUGAGUGCGAGGAGUUUUUGUGAUCAUUGCCGCCAACAACUUUUUUUCAAUUUUUCAAUUUUUUUUUUUGAAGAAAACUAUUUGUUGAAACCCCCAUCAUCUCCUACCAGUGAAGACACCUUCUCUGAAAGAAGCUAAGCUUUUUUUUUUUGGCUGAGAAACUGACCGAUUUUUCUGUAUUUCAAUCACCAAGCAGCGUUAAAUCACCAUGGACUUCAGUAAUAAGGAUAAACUCCACAUUAAAGAUCCUUGUCCUUCUUUUUCUAACACUCAAUCAUUCCCACUCUCCUGCAAACACCAGCGUCUGAGACGUGACGUAUCGUCAUGUAAACCUUUAAUCACAGUCAGUAAUAUGUACAAACAGAAAGAAUAAAUCCUCCGUUAAACACAGUGAUGUUUUCAGAGACACGCUUUCUCUGUCUAGUAAUAAAUUAUGUACAGUUCAAUGGAGAGAAAUGAGGAGGAGGAGGAUGAAGAGCGACGGCAGGAGGCAGGCUCUGGAGCAGGAGGCACAGGAGACCAGCAGGGGGCAACAGUGAGCAUCACCACAUGAACGACUCCUCGUACCUGGAACACACCACCGCAUGAGGGGCCGAGUUACGGAGCCCCCACACCGAGAAGCCUCCAGAUUAUGUUCUCGACGUCAGCGGGUUUACUCACUGACUGCAGAAAUUUAUCCAGGAUCAUUAUCAACAUAAGUGCGCUGUCCUGCGUCGAUAUCAUUACAGGACGAAGAGGAUACAUCACCUGAAAGAGCCUCAUCCCGCCUGCUUUCUGGUCCUGCUGUUUUCUGGAUUUGCCAAAAUAAACUCACGGCCUGUUUCUGCUGUACUGACUGUGUGAGCGGAAAAGAGCCCGUGAACACGAGGCGUAGUGGAAAUACGUCACUGAGACCUGCUCUGCUACUUAAGUGCUUAUUUGGGAGCUUUCCCAAAACCAGAGGAGCUCCAGGGUUUUCCCUGCGGUUAGUCCAGCUCUAGAACCCUGAGUGCUUCACCGUAGCUGACGCAGAACAUGAUGAGUGCUGAAGAGGAAGCAGCAGGAGGGAGUGUGGUCCUGGUGGUUAGGAUUUCUACACAGAAAAUCAGACAUGACUACGUGUUUGGCAACAGGAGCCAGAGGAAGGCCGAUGCUGAAGUGUUGUAGUUUAUAGUGUUCUUGAUGUGUUAAGUAUUUUGCCAAGUAUAUGCCCAAGUCAUUUUCCUGCUCUCAUACACCAACAGCCACGUCAUGUCACAGCAAGAAAAGCUGCUGCUGAUAUUAACCACAAACUAGAAAACUUACAAAUGAUUCGCUGAUUCAUUCAAUGAGUCACUUACAAACUAUUCACUGAUUCAUUCAGUGAGUCAUUUACAAAUGAUUCUUUUUUCAACAAAGUGUCAUACAUAUCAACAGAUUUGACUUGUCCAGCUUAUACUGUACAUCCUAGUCUGGAUCUCAGGGUGGUGUGGGGAUUCAUUCACUUUAAAAACACAGAAUGAACAAUGUUGUGUAACUCAAAAAAAGAUAAAAAUAAAAGAGUUAAAGACUGAAGACUACAGUGUAUUAUCAGAUCCGACGACCAUAUCUGGAGCGUCUGUCUCUACGUCUGCUAUGUAAGGGUACUAUUUAAUUUAAUUGUUUGCAGUGGUUCAUUUUUUAUACAAUAUAAUACUGCACUAUUUCACAGUGUAUACACUGAUCAGCCAUGACACUGUGAGCAGUGAA